Xylaria bambusicola is the source of this 93-nucleotide non-coding RNA. NCBI's taxonomy places the organism in Eukaryota, Fungi, Ascomycota, Sordariomycetes, Xylariales, Xylariaceae. The record is from the annotation of a RefSeq genome assembly.
GUUCUCGUGGCCUAGUGGUUAGGGUGCCUGUCUUACAUAAUCAAUGAAUAUGGAGAGCACAGUAGAUCCCCGGUUCGAUCCCGGGCGAGAACA